ACGGAAGUUUAAGCAAUUAAACUUUAGUGGCGAACGGGUGAGUAACGCGUAAGCAAUCUGCCCCUAAGACGAGGAUAACAGUUGGAAACGACUGCUAAGACUGGAUAGGAGACAAGAAGGCAUCUUCUUGUUUUUAAAAGACCUAGCAAUAGGUAUGCUUAGGGAGGAGCUUGCGUCACAUUAGUUAGUUGGUGGGGUAAAGGCCUACCAAGACUAUGAUGUGUAGCCGGGCUGAGAGGUUGAACGGCCACAUUGGGACUGAGACACGGCCCAAACUCCUACGGGAGGCAGCAGUAGGGAAUUUUCGGCAAUGGAGGAAACUCUGACCGAGCAACGCCGCGUGAACGAUGAAGUAUUUCGGUACGUAAAGUUCUUUUAUUAGGGAAGAAUAAAUGAUGGAAAAAUCAUUCUGACGGUACCUAAUGAAUAAGCCCCGGCUAACUAUGUGCCAGCAGCCGCGGUAAUACAUAGGGGGCAAGCGUUAUCCGGAAUUAUUGGGCGUAAAGGGUGCGUAGGCGGUUAAAUAAGUUUAUGGUCUAAGUGCAAUGCUCAACAUUGUGAUGCUAUAAAAACUGUUUAGCUAGAGUAAGAUAGAGGCAAGUGGAAUUCCAUGUGUAGUGGUAAAAUGCGUAAAUAUAUGGAGGAACACCAGUAGCGAAGGCGGCUUGCUGGGUCUUUACUGACGCUGAGGCACGAAAGCGUGGGGAGCAAACAGGAUUAGAUACCCUGGUAGUCCACGCCGUAAACGAUGAGUACUAAACGUUGGGUAAAACCAGUGUUGAAGUUAACACAUUAAGUACUCCGCCUGAGUAGUACGUACGCAAGUAUGAAACUUAAAGGAAUUGACGGGACUCCGCACAAGCGGUGGAUCAUGUUGUUUAAUUCGAAGGUACCCGAAAAACCUCACCAGGUCUUGACAUGCUUCUGCAAAGCUGUAGAAACACAGUGGAGGUUAUCAGUUGCACAGGUGGUGCAUGGUUGUCGUCAGCUCGUGUCGUGAGAUGUUGGGUUAAGUCCCGCAACGAGCGCAACCCUUAUUGUUAGUUACCAGCACGUAAUGGUGGGGACUUUAGCAAGACUGCCAGUGAUAAAUUGGAGGAAGGUGGGGACGACGUCAAAUCAUCAUGCCCCUUAUGACCUGGGCUACAAACGUGAUACAAUGGCUGUUACAAAGGGUAGCUGAAGCGCAAGUUUUUGGCGAAUCUCAAAAAAACAGUCUCAGUUCGGAUUGAAGUCUGCAACUCGACUUCAUGAAGUUGGAAUCGCUAGUAAUCGCGAAUCAGCAUGUCGCGGUGAAUACGUUCUCGGGGUUUGUACACACCGCCCGUCAAACCACGAAAGUUGGUAAUACCCAAAGCCGGUGGCCUAACUUCGCAAGAAGAUU
Molecule: ribosomal RNA, 1384 nt
Filed under: Phytoplasma sp.
Lineage: Bacteria; Bacillati; Mycoplasmatota; Mollicutes; Acholeplasmatales; Acholeplasmataceae
Description: bacterial SSU rRNA
Rfam family: Bacterial small subunit ribosomal RNA
Source: RNAcentral